GAUGAACGCUGGCGGCGUGCCUAACACAUGCAAGUCGAACGAAGCGCCAUGACGGAUCCCUCCGGGGUGAAGAUGUGGUGACUGAGUGGCGGACGGGUGAGUAACGCGUGGGUAACCUGCCCUGUACAGGGGGAUAACAGCUGGAAACGGCUGCUAAUACCGCAUAAGCGCACAGGAAGACAUCUUCCAGUGUGAAAAACUCCGGUGGUACAGGAUGGGCCCGCGUCUGAUUAGCUUGUUGGCGGGGUAACGGCCCACCAAGGCGACGAUCAGUAGCCGGUCUGAGAGGAUGAACGGCCACAUUGGAACUGAGACACGGGUCCAAACUCCUACGGGAGGCAGCAGUGGGGAAUAUUGCACAAUGGGGGAAACCCUGAUGCAACAACGCCGCGUGAGUGAAGAAGUAUUUC
Molecule: ribosomal RNA, 410 nt
Filed under: uncultured bacterium
Lineage: Bacteria
Description: bacterial SSU rRNA
Rfam family: Bacterial small subunit ribosomal RNA
Source: RNAcentral